This 925-nucleotide ribosomal RNA is filed under the name uncultured bacterium. RNAcentral's name for it is "bacterial SSU rRNA". It matches the Rfam family "Bacterial small subunit ribosomal RNA", at positions 8 to 916 of the family's 1533-position model. The record is from RNAcentral.
AGAGUUUGAUCCUGGCUCAGGACGAACGCUGGCGGCGUGCCUAAUACAUGCAAGUAGAACGCUGAAAUAAGAGCUUGCUCUUAUGGAUGAGUUGCGAACGGGUGAGUAACACGUGGGGAACCUACCUUCUAGCGGGGGAUAACACAUAGAAAUGUGUGCUAAUACCGCAUAAUAGUAUUUGAUGCAUAUCAGAUACUUGAAAGGCGCAAUUGCGUCACUAGAAGAUGGCCCCGCGGUGCAUUAGCUAGUUGGUGAGGUAACGGCUCACCAAGGCAAUGAUGCAUAGCCGACCUGAGAGGGUGAUCGGCCACACUGGGACUGAGACACGGCCCAGACUCCUACGGGAGGCAGCAGUAGGGAAUCUUCGGCAAUGGACGCAAGUCUGACCGAGCAACGCCGCGUGAGUGAAGAAGGUUUUCGGAUCGUAAAACUCUGUUGUAAGAGAAGAACGUUGAUGAGAGUGGAAAGUUCAUCAAGUGACGGUAUCUUACCAGAAAGCCACGGCUAACUACGUGCCAGCAGCCGCGGUAAUACGUAGGUGGCAAGCGUUGUCCGGAUUUAUUGGGCGUAAAGCGAGCGCAGGCGGUUGAUUAAGUCUGAUGUGAAAGCCCCCGGCUCAACCGGGGAGGGUCAUUGGAAACUGGUCAACUUGAGUGCAGAAGAGGAGAGUGGAAUUCCAUGUGUAGCGGUGAAAUGCGUAGAUAUAUGGAGGAACACCAGUGGCGAAGGCGGCUCUCUGGACUGUCACUGACACUGAGGCUCGAAAGCGUGGGUAGCAAACAGGAUUAGAUACCCUGGUAGUCCACGCCGUAAACGAUGAGUGCUAGUUGUUUGGGGCUAUCCAGCCCUAAGUGACGCAGCAAACGCAUUAAGCACUCCGCCUGGGGAGUACGACCGCAAGGUUGAAACUCAAAGGAAUUGACGG